ACUGGCUGCUUUCCAGAACCUCCAGGAUCCUACAGAACGCAGAAGCCUCUUUGCUCUCACAAUGCGCCUUCUGCCCCAGAACUCCCAAAUCGCCUCUUGAAAAAGAGAAAUCGCCAUAAUAAUACAAACAGCUGUCAGGCAUCCCAAACUGUGCCGCUAUAACCAGCCGCAGCUGAUCGCCAGGGGGAUUGUGGGAACUGUAGUUUUUCCCCCGCGAGAGCCCUCCCCGCCCUCCCUCCGGGGAGAACUGCAUUUCCCAGCAACCUCUGCUGCCCCUUAGAGGGGGUGGCGGUCGAUUGCACAACGUACUUCGGUCUGUAAUGAGAGAUGAGCAUUAACUCUGCCCGGAAGACCUGGCAAGGAUGCAGAGUUUGGGGGCUACACCGGCACAGCUCCCGCUCCACAGCCACCGCCGUCCAGAUGCUGGCCUUCGUCCCAGCCAGCCCUCCUCCGGACCCUGGGGAGGUUGAAAAGCUGCAAGGCUUCGUUUCGUGCUCCAACCGAGUCUUUGUGCUGACUGGAGCCGGGAUUUCCACCGAAUCGGGGAUCCCGGACUACCGCUCGGAAGGCGUGGGCCUUUACGCGCGGACGGACAGGCGGCCCGUCCAGCACGCCGAAUUCCUCCGUAGCGCCAAGGCCCGCCAGAAGUACUGGGCCCGGAACUUUGUAGGCUGGCCCCAGUUCUCCUCCCAUCGCCCCAACACAGCACACCUCGCUCUGAAGAACUGGGAGGCGCUGGGGAAACUCCACUGGCUGGUGACCCAGAAUGUGGACGCCCUGCACACCAAGGCGGGAAACCGGCGGCUGACGGAGUUACAUGGCUGCAUACACAGGGUGCUGUGCCUCAGCUGUGGAGACCAGACGCCCCGGGCUGACCUCCAGGAGCGCUUUGAGGCCCUCAAUCCCGCGUGGAGAGCCACGGCUCACGGAGUGGCCCCCGAUGGGGAUGUCUUCUUGACGGAAGAGCAGGUGCGCAGCUUCCGCGUCCCCCCUUGCCGCAAGUGCAGCGGGCCCCUCAAGCCGGACGUGACGUUCUUUGGAGACACCGUGAGCAAAGAGAAAGUGGACUUUGUGUACCAGCGCCUGGCUGAAUCGGACGCUGUCCUUGUGGCCGGCUCUUCGUUGCAGGUGUACUCCGCUUACAAGUUUGCUCUCGCAGCCCGCGACAGGAAGCUGCCGGUCGCCAUCGUGAACAUCGGGCCCACAAGGUCAGAUGCCCUGGCCUCUUUGAAACUCAGUGCUCGUUGUGGGGAGAUACUGCCCUUGAUUGACCCACAGUGACCAAAGCCUGCAGCCAGGGGGGGAAACUUCAGUGUUUCUAUCCUGCCCUUCCAAAAAUGGCUCAGGGCGGUUUGCGGAGAGGAAUCAAAUCAAAAUCAAAAUCUUUAUUGUUACGGUCAUUCGACCAGCAAAAACGGAGAGAAAUGAUAAAGAAUUAAGAUGGCUCCCUGUCCCCAAAGGGCUCACAAUCUAAAAAGAAACACGAGAUAGACACCAGCAACAGUCACUGGAGCUGUUUACAGGUCCCUGCUGAUACAGAUGGUGCCCAAAACGUUGUUUCAGCGGCCAGAGACAAAUCAGAGGAGGACACUUCGAGAACGAGUUCUCCGAGGGCCCCAGUCUACUUACCUCAUCCUUACACCGCUUCGGGACUUCUUCCCUUCCUCUACAAACCUCGAGGGUUCCAACACCGCCUGGUUCGGCUUCUUCUUGUGAUGUGCUGGCGGUGCAGAUAGAGGAACUGGGAAGGUCUGGAUCCUCCCUCCCAUUCACCGCCAUCAACCGUUCCAUUUUCACUCGAAUGCCAGGGCGGAAGAUCCUCAGAAAGCUGCCUGUCUCCUCCAAAUAGCCUCUUCCCUUCCAGCUUCGGCUGUGCAGGAGGGAGAAAAACUGGACGCCAUGGGAAGUCCAACGGGAGUUUUGAGGUGCAGGGUGAAGAGGGAAACGUGGGUGCCACUGCAAAGGUGGCAUUACACAGCAGGGGGUUAUAAUCCUGCAGGCAAUGAGGCUGCUUGUGUCUCGUUUAUUUAAUAUUUGCAUUUAUGCUCUAUUCUAUUUAUAUAUUGAACAAUAGAGUAAUUUAUACCCUU
Hemicordylus capensis (graceful crag lizard) is the source of this 2090-nucleotide RNA transcript. It is a transcript of the gene named sirtuin 4, with no coding region annotated. The record is from RefSeq and is a predicted model, not a curated record. Lineage: Eukaryota; Metazoa; Chordata; Lepidosauria; Squamata; Cordylidae. The transcript is spliced from 6 exons.